RNAcentral lists this ribosomal RNA (397 nucleotides) under uncultured bacterium. RNAcentral's name for it is "partial 16S ribosomal RNA". It matches the Rfam family "Bacterial small subunit ribosomal RNA", at positions 523 to 918 of the family's 1533-position model. The record is from RNAcentral.
AUACGUAGGGGGCGAGCGUUGUCCGGAAUGAUUGGGCGUAAAGGGCGCGUAGGCGGCCCGGUAAGUCUGGAGUGAAAGUCCUGUUUUUAAGAUGGGAAUUGCUUUGGAUACUGUCGGGCUUGAGUGCCGGAGAGGUAAGUGGAAUUCCCCGUGUAGCGGUGAAAUGCGUAGAGAUUGGGAGGAACACCAGUGGCGAAGGCGACUUACUGGACUGUAACUGACGCUGAGGCGCGAAAGUGUGGGGAGCAAACAGGAUUAGAUACCCUGGUAGUCCACACUGUAAACGAUGAAUGCUAGGUGUAGGGGGUAUCGACCCCUUCUGUGCCGCAGUCAACACAAUAAGCAUUCCGCCUGGGGAGUACGGCCGCAAGGUUGAAACUCAAAGGAAUUGACGGGG